Molecule: long non-coding RNA, 1357 nt
Organism: Malus domestica (apple)
Lineage: Eukaryota; Viridiplantae; Streptophyta; Magnoliopsida; Rosales; Rosaceae
Source: RefSeq, a predicted model, not a curated record
CUUUAAGUUAACCCUAGCCACUAGCAGCCACACCUUUUAUUCAUUCCCCUCUUCUCUCUCUCGUUCCCUUCCCUGCCUCCAGUGUAACCCUAAUCCAGUAACCUUCUCGCGCAGCCGAGCUUCAUCUCUGUCUUUCUCAAACUCUCUGUCUCUCUUGGUCUUGAAUCCCAGGCGACCCGCGACGGCGCGACCCUUCUCACUCUCAAUCUCUCACACCUCGCCCUUGUCGUGAGCUUCUUCUUGCCGUUUCGAGCCCCAAAAAUCAAACGCCGCGGCAAACAGGCGUUGAAAAAUGGAUGGGGGGAGUUCCGACGCUGCUUCCGACGCUGCAAUCGAAACCCUAUGAACCAGAGGAUGGUGCUUUGGCGACCUCGAACAAGUGAAGGCGAUGAUCCUGAUCCACUCCGCCUUGUCCGAUGACACGCGUACUGUGGUGGAUUCGGUGGAGUUGGAGCUCACCAACAUGGACCUCAAAUCCAUCUCCUCUAGGUCCUUGCCCGACCCGCAUACCAUCCGAAAUUCCUCUCACCUCGUCGGCCCCAAAGUCCUCCAGGUAUUGACUCCUCACAAGUUUUUCUUUCUGUAUGUUUACAUAUUCUUUUUUCUGUGUGUGUCGAACUGGUGGUUAAACAUGAGAUUUUUUUAUAAAGUACAUACUUAUAUCUGGUGGUUGGACUAUGUGGUAUUCAAUUUUGUUCUGGAUUCUCGAGGAAGGUAAACCUGUUUAGUAGCAUACUGCUUUUAUGUGACAUAUAGCUAAGAUUUGUGCUGAAGCAAUGUUGGUGAAUCAGAAAAAGCUUUUGCAGUAUGGUGCUAAAUUUUUACUUUUACAGACAGUAAUGAUGAUCUGAUAAGGAAAUUUUAGCACUUGCAAAGGAACAUAGUGAUAGUAUAAGCAUGAGCAACUCUUGUUGAAGUUUUCUGGUUUAAGAGACCAAGAAACGCUUUUAAAUUCUGAAAUCCUAGUCAUUAACAUUAUGUAAAUUAGUUAAAGUUUUCGUAUUGAAUUUGAAUGCCAUUUCCCUACUUGCCCCUGUUUUGGGAUCAGAACUCACUUGUUCCAGGCUUGUACCGGUGAUAGUCACUGGCACUGCAUCAAAAGACAGGGUACCAAACAUCAAGUUCAAUGUGGCUAAGGUGUUGCAGUCGAUUAUUCCGAUAGUUGAUCAAUCGGUGGUGGAGAAAACUAUUCGUCCUUGUUUGCUUGAGCUUAGUGAGGACUCACACCUCAGUACAACAUAAACCUGAUGUUUAUGCCCAAACAAAUAUCUAUGACGAGCAUUAGCGGUCACAAUGGGCAUGGUGUGUGUAUGUUGUGUUGUGUUCUGUUGAAUAACCGAAAAAAGGAUGACUCUAA